CAGUCUUUCCUUAUAAGUCCUGUGCCUCAGCCCCCUCACCAUUUUUGUUGCCCUCCGCUGGACUCCCUCCAAUUGACCACAUCCGUUCUGUAGUGGGAGACCCAAAACU
This is a long non-coding RNA of Gavialis gangeticus (Gharial), 109 nucleotides long. RefSeq lists it as uncharacterized. The record is from RefSeq and is a predicted model, not a curated record. NCBI's taxonomy places the organism in Eukaryota, Metazoa, Chordata, Crocodylia, Gavialidae. The transcript is spliced from 3 exons.